Molecule: ribosomal RNA, 461 nt
Organism: Callipepla squamata (scaled quail)
Lineage: Eukaryota; Metazoa; Chordata; Aves; Galliformes; Odontophoridae
Rfam family: Eukaryotic small subunit ribosomal RNA
Source: Rfam
GGAAAGGACCAUAAAGACCACCUAGUUCCAACCUUUAAACUCCCACCCAACCCAGACAUGGACAGGAUCAACACUGAGAAUUCUUUCUCUGUGCCAUGGGUUCAUGGCCAUUCUUAGUUGGUGGAGCUACUUGUCUGGUUAAUUCCAAUAAUGCCUAAGUCUCUGGCAUGAUAAUUAGUUACAUGGCACUUGAGCAGGUGAUGUCCACCUUCUUAGAGGGACAAGUGGCAUUCAGCCAUCUGGGAUUAAGCAGUAACAGGUCUGUAAUGCCCCGAGAUAUCUGGGGCUGUAUGUAUGCUACACCAACUAGCUCAGCUGUGUCUCAGAUCAUGCUGGCUGGCAUGGGUAACCUGCUGAACUCCAUUCAUGAUGUGGAUUGAGGACAGCAAUUAUUCCCCAUAAAUGAGGAAUUUUCAGUAAGUGCAAGUCAUGAGAUCACAUUGAUAAAGUCCCUCCCCUUC